RNAcentral lists this ribosomal RNA (253 nucleotides) under uncultured bacterium. Its description in RNAcentral is "partial 16S ribosomal RNA". It matches the Rfam family "Bacterial small subunit ribosomal RNA", at positions 524 to 776 of the family's 1533-position model. The record is from RNAcentral.
GACGAACUGUGCAAACGUUAUUCGGAAUCACUGGGCUUGAAGAGUGCGUAGGCGGUUUUGUAAGUAGGGUGUGAAAGCCCCCGGCUCAACCGGGGAAUUGCGCCCUAAACUGCAAGGCUGGAGUGAGGUAGGGGUGUGUGGAACUUCCAGUGGAGCGGUGAAAUGUGUUGAUAUUGGAAGGAACGCCGGUGGCGAAAGCGACACGCUGGACCUUGUCUGACGCUGAGGCACGAAAGCCAGGGGAGCAAACGGG